AACGCAUCUUGCGCUCCUUGGUCUUCCAAGGAGCAUGCCUGUUUGAGUGCCCAGAAAUUCACUCAACCCAGCAUGCUUGUUGUGCUGGGCUGGAAGGUGGGGGAUCCUGCAGUGCUUUUGCAUUGCUCCCUUCAAAUGUGUUAGCUUGACCUCAUGUGGUCUUGUGCCCCUGGCUUGAUAUGUGUCGAUGCUGCGGGUGACCCAUUGAACAGGCUUACAGCUGUCCUUGCGGACAACCUUUUGACCUUGGGCCUCAAAUCAGGUAGGACUACCCGCUGAACUUAA
Molecule: unclassified non-coding RNA, 285 nt
Filed under: uncultured fungus
Lineage: Eukaryota; Fungi
Description: partial contains 5.8S ribosomal RNA, internal transcribed spacer 2, and large subunit ribosomal RNA
Rfam family: 5.8S ribosomal RNA (bases 1-52)
Source: RNAcentral